AUUGAACGCUUGCGGCAGGCCUAACACAUGCAAGUCGAACGCGCGGCGCACGUGUGAGUCAUGUCUGUGAAACUGCCUGAUGGAGGGGGAUAACUCCUGGAAACGGUAGCUAAUACCGAAUACCCUCUGAUGUGCCCAGAGGGGAUUAGCUAGUCGGUGGGGUAAAGGCCCACCUAGGCGAAGUUCCCUAGCUGGUCUGAGAGGAUGACCAGCCACGCUGGACCUGAGACACGAUCCAGACUCCUACGGGAGGCAGCAGUGGGGAAUAUUGCACAAUGGGCACAAGCCUGAUGCAGCCAUGCCGCGUGUAUGAAGAAGGCCUUCGGGUUGUAAAGUACUUUCAGCGGGGAGGCGUUACCCGCAGAAGAAGCACCAGCUAACUCCGUGCCAGCAGCCGCGGUAAUUC
Molecule: ribosomal RNA, 406 nt
Filed under: uncultured bacterium
Lineage: Bacteria
Description: partial 16S ribosomal RNA
Rfam family: Bacterial small subunit ribosomal RNA
Source: RNAcentral